GAUGAACGCUGGCGGUGUGCCUAAUACAUGCAAGUCGUACGCAUUCUCGUUUCUGAUUGACGUGCUUGCACCUAAUUGACGAGACAUUGGAAUGAGUGGCGGACGGGUGAGUAACACGUGGGUAACCUGCCCAGAAGCGGGGGAUAACAUUUGGAAACAGAUGCUAAUACCGCAUAAAAGUCAAAACCACAUGGCUUUGAUUUGAAAGAUGGCCUUUGUGCUAUCACUUCUGGAUGGACCCGCGGCGUAUUAGCUAGUUGGUGAGGUAACGGCUUAACAAGGCAAUGAUACGUAGCCGAACUGAGAGGUUGAUCGGCCACAAUGGGACUGAGACACGGCCCAUACUCCUACGGGAGGCAGCAGUAGGGAAUCUUCCACAAUGGGCGCAAGCCUGAUGGAGCAACACCGCGUGAGUGAAGAAGGGUUUCGGCUCGUAAAACUCUGUUGUUAAAGAAGAACGUAUCUAAGAGUAACUGCUUAGGUAGUGGCGGUAUUUAACCAGAAAGCCACGGCUAACUACGUGCCAGCCGCCGCAGUAA
RNAcentral lists this ribosomal RNA (539 nucleotides) under uncultured bacterium. Its description in RNAcentral is "partial 16S ribosomal RNA". It matches the Rfam family "Bacterial small subunit ribosomal RNA", at positions 28 to 523 of the family's 1533-position model. The record is from RNAcentral.